CCUACGGGGGGCAGCAGUAGGGAAUAUUGCUCAAUGGGGGAAACCCUGAAGCAGCAACGCCGCGUGGAGGAUGAAGGUUUUAGGAUUGUAAACUCCUUUUGUUAGAGAGGAUUAUGACGGUAUCUAACGAAUAAGCACCGGCUAACUCCGUGCCAGCAGCCGCGGUAAUACGGAGGGUGCAAGCGUUACGCGGAAUCACUGGGCGUAAAGAGUGCGUAGGCGGGGUAAUAAGUCAGAUGUGAAAUCCCGGAGCUUAACUAGAGAACUGCAUUUGAUACUGGUACUCUGGAGUGUGGGAGAGGUAGGUGGAAUUCUUGGUGUAGGGGUAAAAUGCGUAGAGAUCAAGAGGAAUACUCAUUGCGAAGGCGACCUGCUGGAACAUUACUGACGCUGAUGCACGAAAGCGUGGGGAGCAAACAGGAUUAGAUACCCGAGUAGUC
This 440-nucleotide ribosomal RNA is filed under the name uncultured bacterium. RNAcentral describes it as "partial 16S ribosomal RNA". It matches the Rfam family "Bacterial small subunit ribosomal RNA", at positions 338 to 795 of the family's 1533-position model. The record is from RNAcentral.